This 45-nucleotide non-coding RNA is filed under the name Schistosoma mansoni. Lineage: Eukaryota; Metazoa; Platyhelminthes; Trematoda; Strigeidida; Schistosomatidae. The record is from RNAcentral.
AUCCAGCUGACGAGUCACAAAUAGGACGAAAUGCGCGUGCUCCAU